This 30-nucleotide non-coding RNA is filed under the name Mus musculus (house mouse). Lineage: Eukaryota; Metazoa; Chordata; Mammalia; Rodentia; Muridae. The record is from RNAcentral.
UGUUUCUAGCCUGAAGCUGCAGAGCCUCAA